This 740-nucleotide ribosomal RNA is filed under the name uncultured bacterium. RNAcentral describes it as "bacterial SSU rRNA". It matches the Rfam family "Bacterial small subunit ribosomal RNA", at positions 28 to 774 of the family's 1533-position model. The record is from RNAcentral.
GAUGAACGCUAGCUACAGGCUUAACACAUGCAAGUCGAGGGGCAUCAUGACGAUAGCUUGCUAUUGUUGAUGGCGACCGGCGCAAGGGUGCGUAACGCGUGAGCAAUCUGCCCGUGUCAGGGGGAUAAGCGAUGGAAACGUCGUCUAAUACCGCAUAACGUAGCAGUACCGCAUGAUACAGUUACCAAAGAUUUUAUCGCUGAAAGAUGGGCUCGCGUCCGAUUAGGUAGUUGGUGAGGUAACGGCCCACCAAGCCGACGAUCGGUAGCCGGACUGAGAGGUUGAUCGGCCACAUUGGGACUGAGACACGGCCCAGACUCCUACGGGAGGCAGCAGUGGGGAAUAUUGCACAAUGGGCGCAAGCCUGAUGCAGCAACGCCGCGUGAGGGAAGACACUUUUCGGAUUGUAGACCUCUGUCUUUGGUGACGAAGAAGUGACGGUAGCCAAGGAGGAAGCCACGGCUAACUACGUGCCAGCAGCCGCGGUAAUACGUAGGUGGCAAGCGUUAUCCGGAAUUACUGGGUGUAAAGGGAGCGCAGGCGGGUCAGCAAGUCAGCGGUGAAAUUUAUGGGCUCAACCCAUAACCUGCCGUUGAAACUGUUGAUCUUGAGUGGAGUAGAGGUAGGCGGAAUUCCGAGUGUAGCGGUGAAAUGCGUAGAUAUUCGGAGGAACACCAGUGGCGAAGGCGGCCUACUGGGCUCUAACUGACGCUGAGGCUCGAAAGUGUGGGGAGCAAACA